AUUGAACGCUGGCGGCAUGCCUUACACAUGCAAGUCGAACGGCAGCACGGGAGCAAUCCUGGUGGCGAGUGGCGAACGGGUGAGUAAUAUAUCGGAACGUGCCCAAUCGUGGGGGAUAACGCAGCGAAAGCUGUGCUAAUACCGCAUAAGAUCUACGGAUGAAAGCGGGGGAUCGCAAGACCUCGCGCGAGUGGAGCGGCCGAUAUCAGAUUAGGUAGUUGGUGAGGUAAAGGCUCACCAAGCCGAUGAUCUGUAGCUGGUCUGAGAGGACGACCAGCCACACUGGAACUGAGACACGGUCCAGACUCCUACGGGAGGCAGCAGUGGGGAAUUUUGGACAAUGGGCGCAAGCCUGAUCCAGCAAUGCCGCGUGCAGGAUGAAGGCCUUCGGGUUGUAAACUGCUUUUGUACGGAACGAAAAAGUUCUCUCUAAUACAGGGGGCCCAUGACGGUACCGUAAGAAUAAGCACCGGCUAACUACGUGCCAGCAGCCGCGGUAAUACGUAGGGUGCAAGCGUUAAUCGGAAUUACUGGGCGUAAAGCGUGCGCAGGCGGUUAUGUAAGUCAGAUGUGAAAUCCCCGGGCUCAACCUGGGACCUGCAUUUGANACUGCAUAGCUGGAGUGCGGCANAGGGGGAUGGAAUUCCGCGUGUAGCAGUGAAAUGC
Molecule: ribosomal RNA, 666 nt
Filed under: uncultured prokaryote
Description: bacterial SSU rRNA
Rfam family: Bacterial small subunit ribosomal RNA
Source: RNAcentral